UGUUGUGUUUUUAGUUUCUAGUAUUUCUAUUUCCCAUAGGGACGUCGAAAGAACGGAUACUUCGUUACCAAGUUGAUGCCAAAGUUCGGACAUGCGACAGUACAUCUGGCACCGGGGGUUCGAGACUAACCACUCUCUCUGCCUCUGGCUACUGUCGUCUGUCUGACCACAGCUGACCAGCUGGAGAAUAAAAGUGUUCUGCUGGAGGCAGGUUGGAUGAACAUCUGACCUCAAGCUAAAAAGACACUUGACGCUUGCAUUAUGCAGCUCCCCCACGGCCAUCUCCUCCGUCUUCAUCCACAGGAUCAUCCUCCAAAGGGACAGUGGAAGACCAGCUGCCCAGCCAACAGACACUUUUGCAGGAAAAUGAGACAGCUUGCCUGCUUUUUGCUCAACGGUGCUUCGGAGAGUGGAUGAUGGUGAAGAGGACGGGAGAGGGGGACUGUUGCGGUG
Molecule: long non-coding RNA, 453 nt
Organism: Cottoperca gobio
Lineage: Eukaryota; Metazoa; Chordata; Actinopteri; Perciformes; Bovichtidae
Exons: 3
Source: RefSeq, a predicted model, not a curated record